Molecule: long non-coding RNA, 2250 nt
Filed under: Trifolium pratense (red clover)
Lineage: Eukaryota; Viridiplantae; Streptophyta; Magnoliopsida; Fabales; Fabaceae
Description: long non-coding RNA (TPRA_LNC011119)
Source: RNAcentral
CAACAUGAGGUCUCAAAGUAAACAUCAUGCAAUACAUAGGUCUAAGAUGUUUAAUUCACAACUAAAACCGUCAUACUUAGUUCCAAAUAACAUCAAACUACAACAAGAAAGGGAAAGAGCUGAAUAAAACAUCAUGAGCUAAACUCGACACAACAUCAGUCAUCUGCUUUUUCUUUACCCCUAACUUGCUCAACCUGCAUAUCUGAACAAAAUGUGAGGAGUGAGACAGUCACUUCGUCUCAGCGGUUCCAUUUACCUAGAGAGUUAGCAACUAAGAGGAACAAACUAACAGUUGAUCAUUAUGUAUCAUCAUAUUCAUUCAUAACUUACAUAGCAUAUAAAUAAGUGUUUCACACAAUAAUUAUCUUGAUUCAUUUUACAUAGAUAAUCUGAGGUGAGUUUGGCUCAGAGUAUCUACCUAGUCGGCUAAACUCCCUAUCAAGGGCUAAAGCACGACUCCUUGACUCAUCUUGUCGUUACGUGGGACCCCAUCUUGAAAUCCCAACCAGAUUAUCCAAUCACUAUAUCUAGUGAUCUCUGGUACCACUAGGGUCACAACUUAAACUUAUAAUCACUUAUACAUACAUGGCUCAAAUCCAUUACAUAUACUUGAUCAACUUAUUCAUAUAUAUAUUAAAUAUAUACAAUCAGGUAGUAUCAUGAAUCUCUAGAUGUUACCACACUUCACUAUACAUAGGGGCACUUAGUGUUAGUUAUAAGUUAGCAACUAAUUAAAUAAUUUCUACCUUAUCCUAGUACUAACUCCAUCCCAUUUCUAAGUUUCAAAUUAAUGAAAAUUAAUUUAUGAUGUUAUACUAAUAAUUUUUGGGCACCUACAUUACGUAAAAUCGCACUAAAUGCGAGACAAAGCGAGCUAAGGCUGCUGCCUCGAGCGCCCCACGAUGGGUGUGGCGCGCCCGCGCAAUGGGCAGCAUCGAACCCGCAGGAAAGAAACAAAAACCAGUUCCAUUUAUGCAGAAAAUGCAGCAACCAUUCCUUCUUUUCAUGCAUAAAAUUAUAGCAAAUCAGUCCCAUUGUUAUGCAGAAAAAAAAAAUGCAGCAACCAGUCCUUUUUAUGCAUAAAAUUAUAGCAAACCAGUCCCAUUGUUAUGCAGAGAAAAAUGCAGCAACCAAUACUUCUUUUUUUUUAUGCAGAAAAUUAUAGCAAAACAGUCCCAUUUUAUGCAGAAAGAUCCAGCAAAAUAGUCUCAUUUUUAUGCAGAGAAAUAUAGUAAAACAAUCCCAUUUUUAUGCAUUUUCACCCAGAUUAAGAACUAAUGCACAUGCCCAACUUUUAACUUAUUAGUUCAACAUCAUUACAAGGGAAAAAGAGAUUAUAACUACCAUAACAUUUGGGCAAUUAAUUUAUCAUAAAGAGAAAAAUGGGGUUUUCUAAUUUUCUCUCUCUAAUCCAUAAUCUAGUUUAUGGUCUUAAUUUCUACACUACUUACAUGUUAGUUUCAGCCAUUAAAGGAGUAAUCAAUCUAUAUAGGGUGGUCUCUAAUCUAGGGAACUCACCUCAAUGAAAAGAAUUUGAUGAUGAUGAUGCUAGCUCCAAAACACAUCUUGCUUCCGCUUCCAACUUCCAGCCUUCAGUUUAAACUUGUCCCUCCAUUUUAAAAAGUCUCGGGACACAUAUAUUUAUAUAUAUAUAUGGCCUAGUCCUAUACCACUCACGCAUCCAAAAUCUUGCUGCCACCCAACCACUACACAUUUGCUUUCUAGAAUAAUACUCAUCUCAAGAAAAACAGUUCCAAAAGCAUCAGAGCACCGAAUCCAAGUACUUUACAAGUUACCAUGUUAGAAACUCAACAAUAUGGCUUCACAUAGAAUCCUUAUAUUUCUAUCUUGAAUCAUGGCUACUUGAGACAACAAGAAUAACUAUGCUAUUAUUCAUCACACCAAUUGGUUAAAAAGGAACCUUAAAUUUGAACACUCCAUAAGCUUACAAUUGAGUGAAUCAACACAUGCAUGAGAUCCCAAUUGAGAUAAAAGGCAACAACUCAAUUUCUUUAACCCAUGAGGAAGGUUUCUCGACCAAACAGAAAAAGGAACAGGAGUUAAUCACUUUCUUCCUACUCUUAUCUUCUGUUCCCAACACCUCAAAUAUUGAUUAUAUGAAGAAUUUCGUUCAUACAUGAGUUCAAAAUGAAGGAUUUGUGAGAAAGGGGGGUUUGGGGUUUCAGAUAGAUUUGUGACCAAGAGGGGAAAAGGAUAGAAACUGAGCAAAAUAUUGUUAGGAAUGGGUUC